Molecule: ribosomal RNA, 254 nt
Filed under: uncultured prokaryote
Description: partial 16S ribosomal RNA
Rfam family: Bacterial small subunit ribosomal RNA
Source: RNAcentral
UACGUAGGGGGCGAGCGUUGUCCGGAAUUAUUGGGCGUAAAGAGCUCGUAGGCGGCUUAGCAAGUCACGUGUGAAAUCUCCAGGCUCAACCUGGAGAUGCCACGUGAUACUGCUAUGGCUUGAGUCCGGUAGGGGACCACGGAAUUCCUGGUGUAGCAGUGAAAUGCGUAGAGAUGUGGAGGAACACCGAUGGCGAAGGCAACCCCCUGGGCUGAUACUGACACUCAUGCACGAAAGCGUGGGGAGCAAACAGG